GCGAGAAAACUUUGCAAUGCGCGAAAGCUCGACAAGGUUAAUCUGAGUGGUUCCUGCUAAAGGAACCUUUUGUUAGUCGUAGAACCACUGAUGAAUAAGGGGUGGGCAAGUUCUGGUGUCAGCCGCCGCGGUAAAACCAGCACCUCAAGUGGUCAGGAUGAUUAUUGGGCCUAAAGCAUCCGUAGCCUGUUCUGUAAGUUUUCGGUUAAAUCCAUAAGCUCAACUUAUGGGCUGCCGAAAAUACUGCAGAACUAGGGAGUGGGAGAGGUAGACGGUACUCGGUAGGAAGGGGUAAAAUCCUUUGAUCUAUUGAUGACCACCUGUGGCGAAGGCGGUCUACCAGAACACGUUCGACGGUGAGGGAUGAAAGCUGGGGGAGCAAACAGG
This 387-nucleotide ribosomal RNA is filed under the name uncultured bacterium. RNAcentral describes it as "bacterial SSU rRNA". It matches the Rfam family "Archaeal small subunit ribosomal RNA", at positions 339 to 727 of the family's 1478-position model. The record is from RNAcentral.